This 327-nucleotide ribosomal RNA is filed under the name uncultured eukaryote. RNAcentral describes it as "partial 18S ribosomal RNA". It matches the Rfam family "Eukaryotic small subunit ribosomal RNA", at positions 1470 to 1796 of the family's 1831-position model. The record is from RNAcentral.
CCCCUAGAUGUUCUGGGCCGCACGCGCGCUACACUGAACAGUUCAACAAGUCUUAACCUUGGCCGAUAGGUCUGGGUAAUCUUUGAACGCUGUUCGUGAUUGGGAUAGACCUUUGCAAUUAUGGGUCUUCAACGAGGAAUGCCUAGUAAGCGCAAGUCAUCAGCUUGCGUUGAUUACGUCCCUGCCCUUUGUACACACCGCCCGUCGCUCCUACCGAUUGAAUGGUCCGGUGAAGCGCUCGGACCGCGGCCUCUUGACGGUUUUCCGUCGAUUGGCUGUGGGAAGUUCGUUAAACCUUAUCAUUUAGAGGAAGGAGAAGUCGUAACA